CUGUUGCACAAUGGAUCAGACUAUGUACACUUCGUGUGAAAACUUUGUAAAUGCAUAAACACAGAGAUGUUUGAGGGAAAAAAUCGUCUUGUUUCGCUGAUGUGUUCAGUGUUUCCGUCUUGUUUCGCUGAUGUGUUUGGUGUAAUUUAGCGGCGUUGGACUUUACGUAAUUUCACAGGAAAUUUGGAAUACAAAAUAAGAAAUUAAACAGACACGGUUUGCUUGAUCGAUUGGAUCGAUUAGCGUCUAAAGCAAAUGUACUCAUUCUGCAACUUGUUUAUGUUAUAUUGUUCGGGGAUGUAGUAGCUUACCGGAAAGAGCAAAGGGCAGUGCUCGGCUGUGUUGGGGGAGCGCGGCCGUCAUGCGCGUGCGCGUUUAUUCUAAAUUUGCGCCUACCUUCGCCAGUACAGGUAGGUGGCGGUGUGCACCAUCAAGCUGGCGAAAAUCAACUAUAAAAUUGACCAAAGAAGAAGUCGAAGAAGCGCAGUAGGGACACCAGAAUCUGAGGGUGGGGGAGAGAGAGACCGUUCUGCCAACAGGUGCCUCCUGCUGUCAUCCAAAAUAAUUGCCAGGCGAGCAGAAUUAAUCACAUAGUCGAAGGGCCAUAGAGUUGACAUAUUACUUUGCUUUACUAGCAAAGAUUUUUCAUUAACACAUAGCCCCGAUGCUCAACCCAGAGUCUCUAAGUUAAUAAGUAAUCACAAAUCAAAAUUACCCAGAAUGCCUUGGUCAUAAAUUACCAUAUGACCAGCUGUCGUCAGGGUAGGCGCCCAAUAGAGACAUUGACAGAUCUGCCUGCUAACACAAGUGCCUUCACUACAGACAGCGAAGUAAAUUACAUGACUGCUUUCAUCAUUAUAAAGAAGCUACAGUAACAUUGUGCCGAACAGCAAAAAAGAAAAAAAAAUAUUUGUGAGAUUAAAUACUGGUGAGAAAUUAGAAAUAGGAUGAAUGCAUUUGUAUUCAGUUUUAAUUAUUUAAACUGCCGAAAGAGGACAAGGCAGCUGACCAAUCAAAGCGGAUGCUGUGCAGUCCAUUGUUAUGUCACAGUUCCCACUGUGACAUCACAGUUAAUCAGAUCACAGUUGCCCCUGUACCAUAGAUAAUAUGGAUAAUAUGCUACCUGUUAGCUUCUAAGACCCCACUGUGGGAAAUGCAUCCUAAGUGGCAUUAAUUAGGUGCAUGUAUUUGGUUUUUGGAUUAUUCACUUUCUCAACAAAAACACAGAAUGUAGCUCUGUAGCACAGACAGAAAUUGCAUUUGGCUUCCCCCCCCAGAACACAGAGGCUAACUGACCUGUGGCCCCAUGCUCAAGUACAAAAAAAUAUAUGCUUCUAAAGAGCAUGCAUUUGGUAAUAAUUGGUGAGUCAACCCCAGUGAAAAUGGAAAAGAAAUAUAAAUAAAUACAAGAGUUUAAAAACUAAAUACAAAAGUGUACUCUACUGGAAGAGAAAAUAAAGCAAUGUUUAAAAUAAUAAUAAUAACCCUACUAAAAAUAAAUGUGAAUCCCCUAAUUUUGGCAAGACUUUAAAUAAACCAUUCUUUAACUCCCACAGCAACUCAGUGGGCCAAAAUCAGAGCCUUUCUACAAAAUAUCAGAUUUGACUAAUUAUCUUAGUCCUAACAAUAUCUUUUCGCUCUUUUGCCACUUUUCGCUAUUUACCCACUUGUAUUUUCCCGAUUGACUGCACUUACUCUGGUUUGGUU
Molecule: long non-coding RNA, 1707 nt
Organism: Anguilla rostrata (American eel)
Lineage: Eukaryota; Metazoa; Chordata; Actinopteri; Anguilliformes; Anguillidae
Exons: 3
Source: RefSeq, a predicted model, not a curated record